CCCUUAGAUGUUCUGGGCCGCACGCGCGCUACACUGAUGCGUUCGACAAGUUUCCUUGGCCGAGAGGCCUGGGCAAUCUUCUUAAUAUGUAUCGUGAUAGGGAUAGAUUAUUGCAAUUAUUAAUCUUGAACGAGGAAUUCCUAGUAAACGCAGAUCAUCAAUCUGCAUUGAUUACGUCCCUGCCCUUUGUACACACCGCCCGUCGCUCCUACUGAUUGGGUGAUCCGGUGAGCUGUUCGGCCAUAGCAAUGUUUCUUGAGCAGGGCAAUGAAUGUUUCGCAAACCUUGCCACUUAGAGGAAGGAGAAGUCGUAACA
This 316-nucleotide ribosomal RNA is filed under the name uncultured eukaryote. RNAcentral's name for it is "partial 18S ribosomal RNA". It matches the Rfam family "Eukaryotic small subunit ribosomal RNA", at positions 1470 to 1796 of the family's 1831-position model. The record is from RNAcentral.